Molecule: long non-coding RNA, 2990 nt
Organism: Raphanus sativus (radish)
Lineage: Eukaryota; Viridiplantae; Streptophyta; Magnoliopsida; Brassicales; Brassicaceae
Exons: 5
Source: RefSeq, a predicted model, not a curated record
GAUCACUAUAAAAGAGCUAUGGAGUCGUGGGUAUUCCAAUAAGACAAUGGGAGCUAUUGUCGAGGAAGGGUGAAAAUCCCUUAGGGUGUUCUUGGGUCGUGCCGAAGCAGUUGCUGAAGUACUGACGAUGGAGAGACAAGUUUGGGUAAAUUAGGAAUUGUUCAGUGGCGUGUGUUAGGGUGUAACACUAGACGUGUAAAGCUGAUUAAGCAUAGCUUGUAAUAGGGUUUACAAGGCGAUUUCUAAUAAAGCAAUUGGUGUUUGCUUGUAUCUGUUUUGUCUCUUGGUUUACCUUCUGCAUUACUUAAUUGUGGUGUCAUCUUUGCACUUACAAUUGGUAUCAGAGCGGGUCACCUAAGUUACUGGUGUGGUCCUGAAGGUGAAGAUGUACACGAUUGUUUGAUGCGGAAGACAAUCAUGUUGGAUGAUGGCUGGUGGUAUGGUCAUUGGAGGGCGCACAUGAAGCUGUUGGUUUGAGGAAUCAAAGAGCGUGCGUGGAUAGCUGUGAAGACUGGGUGGGAGGAGCCUACCAUAUUUACAGCAGAGGGGAAGAAACCGAAGCCUAAGGAGCCAAGACAAGGAGUGGUUCGAGAGGUAGUUCGAGAAGUAGUACGACGGAUGCGUCAUAGCCUGAUGCAGUACUCAUGAAGAAGCAGACAGGUGUGUCUGUGAUGUUUGUAUUGACAUCUAAGCAUCUAUGUUUUAGCUUAGUAUGCAAUCAAGCAGGGGGAGAAGUGGUGACGUUCUGGUCCAAGGAGUGCAUAUCUCGUGGGGGAGAAGAGCAUGGUGAUGGACGUCCUGAUGUAGAUGGUGCAUAUCUCAUGGGGGAGAAUAGCAUAUCUAUGAAUGAAGAUGAAGAUAGUGCAAGUCUCGUGGGGGAGAAAGGCAUAUCUAAUGUGGAGGUUUCCAGGUGAGGAAACAUGGUUGUUGAACCAGAAGGGUAUUGUGCUUGAUUGGCACACAAAACUAAAAGGGAGAGAUUGAAGAUGCAAGAAGAGCUUGCAGAUGUCAAUAGUCUUCCGUGACUAACUAGGCGACGAAGUCACUGAUGCCGGAGGCAUUAGUCGUUACUACAUAAGGCAUGCGGAGUGGUGGGUUACCAUGUGGAUGCAAGGAUAUGCUGAGAUGGAGAAGAAUAAACUGAGGGUUUAUGUCUUGACAUAGUCGUUGAAGUAGUUGCUGAUGCAGUGCGUGUCAGAGAGUGAACCAUGAGGCAUGCGGAGUGGUGGAGACCAUGUGGAUGCGAGAUGCUGAGUUGGCGUGGGAUAAACUUGAGGAGCAAGUUUAUACCGUGGAGAAUAGACAAGAGAUAAACUUGGGGAGCAAGUUUAUGCCUUGAAGAAUAAAUACAUUCCAAGAAAAGGAAAGUGUACUUAUUAAUAUGGAAGUUGUCCAUAUAUCCAUGUUGCCUUGGAGACUAGGUUUCAGGAACGUGGAGAUCACUAUAAAAGAGCUAUGGAGUCGUGGGUAUUCCAAUAAGACACUGAGAGCUAUUGUUAUAGAGGAAGGGUGAAAAUCCCUUAGGGUGUUCUUGAGUCGUGCCGAAGCAGUUGCUGAAGUACUGACGAUGGAGAGACAAGUUUGGAUUCAGCUGAGUUUCUUUGAUCCCGGAGCCUCGUCCUCGUCUUCAAUGGUUUCAUGUUUAGAUAGGAGUGUUACUCUAAUUUCCAGACGGAAUCUGACUGUUCUCGCAACAAUCUCUGUUGCCUCAAGUUCUCCACCUAGAAAAAGAAGGUGCGAGAGAAUCUGAGAUAGAUUGGCCGUCAGGAUUAUUAUUUCCCUCACCAGUAGAUCCGAUUAACUUUGAUCGGAUUCCUUAUCCCUCCGUCUGUGUCCUGAUUUUUGGAGUUGAAAAUCACACAUGUCGAUUGUUCGUGGUUUGGCUAUUGCAUGGUUAUCGGGUAAUUUCAGUUGAUAUUCCACGGGUUCGGAGUUAUCAUGAGUGGAUUCAAGCAUUUGAGAAAUUCCUUGACACCAUUGAUGUUCAUCAUGUGCAUCGGUACUUCCCUUGGAGGCUUCUUAGCGCAACUCUUUGCUCAUCACCGACCAAGAAGAGUUAAAUCAUUGGUUCUAUCAAAUACAUAUUUGGACACUCGCAGUUUUGCUGCUGCAAUGCCAUGGGCUCCUUUUGUAAGUUGGACUCCUUCCUUUUUGCUGUAACUAUAGGUCUUAACAGGAAUACGUGACGGACCUCACGAACCAUUUAUCGCUGACUCUGUCGAUUUUGCUGUCUCUCAGGUGGUUCUCCUCAUAAUCUUCUCUUUAGUAUUAUUUAAUAUCCCCUGUAUAUUAAAGGAGAAGCAUUUUUAAGGCUUUCCUUAAACGAUUUUGGUGAGAAUGCAUGAGAAGGCUCGGAUCCACGUGUCACUCUGUGAGGGAGUUUAAGAAAAACGGAUCAUUUAAUUCUUUGCUUUGUUUCCUUAUUUGGUUCCAUAAGAAGAAACGUAACCAAUUUUUUUUUUCAUUCAUGCGAAACACUUUGAAGCAUUACCUCUCGACGAUUCAAGGAUCCGAGUCAUUGUUCUCUCCCUGAGAGUCUUGCCGUCUUCUGUCGCGUCGUCUUGACUUCGAGAUCGAUGAGGCAGCCCUUAGCGUAGACGAGGAUGACAACAGUUAGGGAGAACAUACAACUGGCUUAAACUUCAGUUGCGAAGGCGAAAUCGGAUGAGUUUGCCGUUUGUAAACAGGGAGAGCUAAGGGACGAGCAAACAAGUUGAGCUAAGGGAGAGAUAAGGGACGAGCAAACAUCAAUCCCGAGUAUAUUAUAUAAGUUGCGUUAAGGGACGAGCAAAGUUGUUUUUUUUGCAGCCAUAACACGUUUACGUGAUACCUUAAUCAUCCUAAAGAUCAUGAAAGAACAUCUGAUUCUCACCAUGUUGACCUAAUACAAAAGCCUUAAACCCCUAAGACGCACACGAGCUCUCAAACGAAACCCCAAACAGUAGAAGCUCCCAGAAGGCAGCCCGAAAUCCGAUUUUGAAAUACGUGAG